AUACGGAGGGGGUUAGCGUUGUUCGGAAUUACUGGGCGUAAAGCGUACGUAGGCGGAUCGGAAAGUAAGGGGUGAAAUCCCAGGGCUCAACCCUGGAACUGCCUCUUAAACUCCCGGUCUUGAGUUCGAGAGAGGUGAGUGGAAUUCCUAGUGUAGAGGUGAAAUUCGUAGAUAUUAGGAGGAACACCAGUGGCGAAGGCGGCUCACUGGCUCGAUACUGACGCUGAGGUACGAAAGUGUGGGGAGCAAACAGGAUUAGAAACCCCAGUAGUCC
Molecule: ribosomal RNA, 274 nt
Filed under: uncultured bacterium
Lineage: Bacteria
Description: partial 16S ribosomal RNA
Rfam family: Bacterial small subunit ribosomal RNA
Source: RNAcentral